RNAcentral lists this long non-coding RNA (869 nucleotides) under Amphimedon queenslandica. RNAcentral describes it as "uncharacterized LOC109587677, transcript variant X2". The record is from RNAcentral. Lineage: Eukaryota; Metazoa; Porifera; Demospongiae; Haplosclerida; Niphatidae.
UGAAAAGUGUCCCCCCAAAUUACCCUCAAUUUUAUUACAAUGUCUGAUGCCCUCCCUCCAAUAGAUUGAUGAUGCUAUUAUUGUAGAAUUAGAUGAAGACAUUGUUGAAUCAAAACUCUCUUCAGUGUCCUUGUUCCCAGAGCUACCUGAGGCUGACAGGAUUAGAUUCAAAACACAGUUGGUAUUGCCAUCUGCUAUAGAGAGGGAAAGGAGGAAGAGUAAUUUUGAACAUUAUAAGGACACCACACUCUCAGCCUUGUUUCUGGAGCUAAUGGUCGGAGUAUUUGAGUAAGUUACGUAGGAUGAUAAAGAUAAUUGAAGAACCACUCCAGUCUGGUUUAUAUGAUGUCCUCCCUACUACUAUUGGAAGGUUUGGCUCCUGAGGAUUUGAGGCUUUUGCUCUGUGGGUGUCAGCAGGUUGAACUUGACGUACUCAAAAAGAUAACAACUUUGACCAACAAGAGUUGUAGAGGUAUUCAGAAGAUAUUGAAGGUGUGGCCACAGACCAGUGUCCCUCCCCCUAAGAUUCACUACUUGAUUUUAGCACCAAUCCCAGUACAGAUUGGACUCAAUAGGUCAAUGGAAAUGAAAAAGAGGGACAGAAUGGGGACAUCAAAUUCAUUCAGCAGUGUGUGUCUUACUGGGUGUCUAGUCUAUGACUAUUGAGCUAUUGGGAUGGGUCUGUCCUGAGUCAGUUGGUAAACUCGAGCACUCAAUAUUCAACCAGUUGCAAGAUGUGUCUUGAAUGGGAGGAGACUAGGCUUUGAUGAACUGAGGACUUUAGUAGUGGACGGUUGUCUUUAUUAUUAUUAUUAAUUUUUUUGAAUGGCCUUUUGUUAAUAAAGCUAGCCUAUGCAAACAAAUGGAAA